GGGAGUUAGCUCAGUUGGUUAGAGCGCCGGCCUGUCACGUCGGAGGUCGCGGGUUCAAGUCCCGUACUUCC
RNAcentral lists this transfer RNA (71 nucleotides) under Berryella intestinalis. It matches the Rfam family "tRNA". From Rfam's summary of the family: Transfer RNA (tRNA) molecules are approximately 80 nucleotides in length. Their secondary structure includes four short double-helical elements and three loops (D, anti-codon, and T loops). Further hydrogen bonds mediate the characteristic L-shaped molecular structure. tRNAs have two regions of fundamental functional importance: the anti-codon, which is responsible for specific mRNA codon recognition, and the 3' end, to which the tRNAs corresponding amino acid is attached (by aminoacyl-tRNA synthetases). tRNAs cope with the degeneracy of the genetic code in two manners: having more than one tRNA (with a specific anti-codon) for a particular amino acid; and 'wobble' base-pairing, i.e. permitting non-standard base-pairing at the 3rd anti-codon position. The record is from RNAcentral. Lineage: Bacteria; Bacillati; Actinomycetota; Coriobacteriia; Eggerthellales; Eggerthellaceae.